Molecule: ribosomal RNA, 253 nt
Filed under: uncultured bacterium
Lineage: Bacteria
Description: partial 16S ribosomal RNA
Rfam family: Bacterial small subunit ribosomal RNA
Source: RNAcentral
UACAGGGGGGGCAAGCGUUGUUCGGAAUUACUGGGCGUAAAGGGCCAGUAGGCGGCCAACUAAGUCACACGUGAAAUCCCCAGGCUUAACCUGGGAACUGCGUGUGAUACUGGAUGGCUUGAAUUCGGGAGAGGGAUGCAGAAUUCCAGGUGUAGCGGUGAAAUUCGUAGAUAUCGGGAGGAACACCAGUGGCGAAGGCGGCGAUCUGGGAAGAUACUGACGCUGAGGUGCGAAAGCGUGGGGAGCAAACAGG